GGACCCGCACAAGCGGUGGAGCGUGUUCUUUAAUUCGAGGCUAAACGAAGAACCUUACCAGGGCUUGACAUCCCUAUAACCGAUUUCCGAAAGGAAAUUCUCAUUUAGUUGGAUAGGUGACAGGUGAUGCAUGGCCGUCGUCAGCUCGUGUCGUGAGAUGUUUGGUUAAGUCCAUCAACGAGCGCAACCCUUAUUGUUAGUUGUAUUUUUCUAGCAAGACUGCCCUUGUAAAAAGGGAGGAAGGAGGGGAUGAUGUCAGGUCAGUAUUUCCCUUACGCCCUGGGCCAGAAACGCGCUACAAUGGCCGGUACAACGGGAAGCGAAGCAGCAAUGUGGAGCAAAUCCCAUCAAAACCGGUCCCAGUUCGGAUAGAAGGCUGAAACUCGCCUUCUUGAAGUCGGAAUCGCUAGUAAUCGCAAGUCAGCAAAUUG
RNAcentral lists this ribosomal RNA (431 nucleotides) under uncultured bacterium. RNAcentral's name for it is "bacterial SSU rRNA". It matches the Rfam family "Bacterial small subunit ribosomal RNA", at positions 917 to 1359 of the family's 1533-position model. The record is from RNAcentral.